UGGGGAAUUUUGGACAAUGGGCGAAAGCCUGAUCCAGCAAUGCCGCGUGCAGGAUGAAGGCCUUCGGGUUGUAAACUGCUUUUGUACAGAACGAAACAGUCCCCCCUAAUACGGGGGGCGAAUGACGGUACUGUAAGAAUAAGCACCGGCUAACUACGUGCCAGCAGCCGCGGUAAUACGUAGGGUGCAAGCGUUAAUCGGAAUUACUGGGCGUAAAGCGUGCGCAGGCGGUUUUGUAAGACAGAUGUGAAAUCCCCGGGCUCAACCUGGGACCUGCAUUUGUGACUGCAAAGCUAGAGUACGGCAGAGGGGGAUGGAAUUCCGCGUGUAGCAGUGAAAUGCGUAGAUAUGCGGAGGAACACCGAUGGCGAAGGCAAUCCCCUGGGCCUGUACUGACGCU
RNAcentral lists this ribosomal RNA (400 nucleotides) under uncultured bacterium. RNAcentral describes it as "bacterial SSU rRNA". It matches the Rfam family "Bacterial small subunit ribosomal RNA", at positions 355 to 747 of the family's 1533-position model. The record is from RNAcentral.